CCCUUAGAUGUUCUGGGCCGCACACGCGCUACACUGAAGGAGGCAGCGUGUACUCCUGGAUCGAAAGAUUUGGGUAACCCGCGAAUCUCCUUCGUGCUAGGGAUUGAGGUUUGCAAUUAUCCUUCAUGAACGAGGAAUUCCCAGUAAGUGCAAGUCAUAAGCUUGCGCUGACUACGUCCCUGCCCUUUGUACACACCGUCCGUCGCUACUACCGAUUGAAUGAUUUAGUGAGGACUUCGGACUGGGACCGAUGCGGCUUUCGGGCUGCGUCGGUAUUCUGGAAAGAUGUCCAAACUGUAUCAUUUAGAGGAAGUAAAAGUCGUAACA
RNAcentral lists this ribosomal RNA (327 nucleotides) under uncultured eukaryote. Its description in RNAcentral is "partial 18S ribosomal RNA". It matches the Rfam family "Eukaryotic small subunit ribosomal RNA", at positions 1470 to 1796 of the family's 1831-position model. The record is from RNAcentral.